GGCCGGAGCGGGGGAUUGUGGGAAGCGCGGGGAUGCGCGGGCUCCACAACUUGAGACCUGCGUGCUACGAACGCCAUUUGGCCGCGGAGUGCGAAGAGAAUGCUUUGUUGCGGACCCCCGUAGGACCUGGACCCCUCUGCUUCAGCAGGGUCGCAGGCGGCCCGGAGCAUGCGGAAUGGCAUUCAAGGCACCCCCUCCCCAGUCUAAAAAUAAACCCAUCCCGGGAGGCGACCCUUCCCAAAUGAGGCAGCUGCAAUUUGGAAACGCUGAAUAUUUAACUACAAAGAAAAGCUCAUCUGCUUGGCUGGCCUCCAGCAGAGUGUGGUAGCAGCAGGCAGGAGCCUGGCAGUGUGGGAGGAGACCUGACAGGAAACAGGGAAGAAUUUCCAGGUAUUGGUUCACCUCCACACUGGCUGGACAUGCAGAUACCUGCUACUAACAGGAGUCAGUCAUCUUAUGCAUUAAGCAACUUAACACGUUGCUGUCCCUAACUCCAACUUACUGGAUUUUAACAAUAACCGAGCAUCAAGAAGGGAUAUUUACCAAUAACUUGGAGGACCCAUAACUUCACUGUCUUCUUGCCGCUGCAACCUGCUGCCACGAAUCAUUUCCACCUGCUACAGAUCCCUUGCCACAGCACUCCAGUCCCGAUUUUCCCUCGGGCCUCUAGAUACCAUCACAGCAGCAUCAUCCUAUUAGCACAUAUUUUCUGAAUGCUUAAUUACCAGGCAUCUAUACAGAUCUUUAUCUGCACUAAGAAUUCAGGAAGAGCAGGACCCACUGUAUCUUUGGUUGCCAAAAGCAGGAACCUAUGAGUCUUCUCUCCAUGUAAUCACAGGGACCCAACAUUAAGUCUCCAGUCUCCUUUCUUUUGACUCCUAAUUUUAAAUUCCUAGAAGACAAACAUGAUUGAUCCAGCUUGGGUCACAUGUCUUGGAUCAUUCAUCUUGGGCUAAGCAGCAGUUCAUGCAGGAAUAAACAUAACUACUAGGAGCCUUGCCUAUAAAUGGGGCUUGUCCCCAGAAGAGAGAAGAAAAUGGAGCCCACAUACAAAGGGAAGCAAAUAAACCCAUGAGAGAUGGAGGGAGAACCCUCAGAGUCUUUUAGCUCUUACUAUGGUUUAGAUCUAAAAUGUCCCCC
This 1140-nucleotide long non-coding RNA is filed under the name Heterocephalus glaber (naked mole-rat). Its description in RNAcentral is "lncRNA (ENSHGLG00100050229.1)". The record is from RNAcentral. Lineage: Eukaryota; Metazoa; Chordata; Mammalia; Rodentia; Bathyergidae.